RNAcentral lists this ribosomal RNA (428 nucleotides) under uncultured bacterium. RNAcentral describes it as "bacterial SSU rRNA". It matches the Rfam family "Bacterial small subunit ribosomal RNA", at positions 28 to 505 of the family's 1533-position model. The record is from RNAcentral.
GACUAACGCUGACGGCGUGCCUAAUCUAUGCAAGUUGAUGGUUUUUAUUCGCAAGAAUAAAAACCAUGGCAGACGAGUGAGUAACGCGUAGGAACCAACCCUUUACUUGACCAUAACUCCGAGAAAUCGGAAGUAAUAGUCAAUAGUCUCUUCGGAGUAAAGGCUACGAUUUAUCGUAGUCGGUAAUGGACGGGCCUGCGUCCUAUCAGCUUGUUGGCGGGGUAAUUGCCCACCAAGGCUAUGACGGGUAGGGGGCGUGAGAGCGUGACCCCCCACGAUGGCACUGAGACACGGGCCAUACAUCUACGGAUGGCAGCAAGUAGGAAUAUUGCACAAUGAUCGCCCUAGGCGAUUGAUGCAGCGACGCCGUGUGUGGGAAGAAGCUUUUCGGAGUGUAAACCAAUGUUAAGAAGGGGCGGCUAACUUCG